GGCCGCCGGAAUUCGAUUAGAGUUUGAUCCUGGCUCAGAACGAACGCUGCCGGCAUGCCUAACACAUGCAAGUCGAACGAACCCUUCGGGGUUAGUGGCGCACGGGUGCGUAACGCGUGGGAAUCUGCCCUUGGCUUCGGAAUAACAGUUAGAAAUGACUGCUAAUACCGGAUGAUGUCUUCGGACCAAAGAUUUAUCGGCCAGGGAUGAGCCCGCGUAGGAUUAGGUAGUUGGUGGGGUAAAGGCCUACCAAGCCGACGAUCCUUAGCUGGUCUGAGAGGAUGAUCAGCCACACUGGGACUGAGACACGGCCCAGACUCCUACGGGAGGCAGCAGUGGGGAAUAUUGGACAAUGGGCGCAAGCCUGAUCCAGCAAUGCCGCGUGAGUGAUGAAGGCCUUAGGGUCGUAAAGCUCUUUUACCCGGGAUGAUAAUGACAGUACCGGGAGAAUAAGCUCCGGCUAACUCCGUGCCAGCAGCCGCGGUAAUACGAAUCACUAGUGAAUUCGCGGCCGCCUGCAGGUCGACCAUAUGG
Molecule: ribosomal RNA, 534 nt
Filed under: uncultured Alphaproteobacteria bacterium
Lineage: Bacteria; Pseudomonadati; Pseudomonadota; Alphaproteobacteria
Description: bacterial SSU rRNA
Rfam family: Bacterial small subunit ribosomal RNA
Source: RNAcentral